RNAcentral lists this small nuclear RNA (23 nucleotides) under Arabidopsis thaliana (thale cress). RNAcentral describes it as "snRNA_02846". Lineage: Eukaryota; Viridiplantae; Streptophyta; Magnoliopsida; Brassicales; Brassicaceae. The record is from RNAcentral.
UGAGAGAAUGAAUAAUCCAAAGA